UUACCCGCUGAAUUUAAGCAUAUAAUUAAGCGGAGGAAAAGAAACUAACCAGGAUUGCCUCAGUAAGGGCGACUGAAGCGGCAAUAGCUCACCAUGUGAAUCUGCGCCUCGUGCGCCGAAUUGUGGUCUCAUGUGCGUUAUGGGGGCUGGGCCAAGUCCGUUGGAAUGCGGCAGCUUAGAGGGUGAGACUCCCGUCCGCCUGGCCCCUUGAGCAUGUGUAUACGAGUCGAGUUGUUUGGGAUUGCAGCUCUAAGCGGGUGGUAAAUUCCAUCGAAAGCUAAAUACUGGUGGGAGACCGAUAGCGCACAAGUACCGUGAGGGAAAGAUGCAAAGAAACGCGAAAGCGUUGUCAAAGAGAACCUGAACUUGCUGAAACGGAAGCGAAGGUACCCAGU
RNAcentral lists this ribosomal RNA (395 nucleotides) under Amphora sp. RNAcentral describes it as "LSU rRNA". It matches the Rfam family "Eukaryotic large subunit ribosomal RNA", at positions 21 to 433 of the family's 3401-position model. Lineage: Eukaryota; Bacillariophyta; Bacillariophyceae; Surirellales; Surirellaceae. The record is from RNAcentral.